UAAGNUUAUCGGUGAUGGAUGGGGAUGCGUCUGAUUAGCUUGUGGCGGGUAACGGCCCACCAAGGCGACGAUCAUAGGGGGUUCUGAGAGGAAGGUCCCCCCACAUUGGAACUGAGACACGGUCCAAACUCCUACGGGAGGCAGCAGUGAGGAAUAUUGGUCAAUGGACGAGAGUCUGAACCAGCCAAGUAGCGUGCAGGAUGACGGCCCUAUGGGUUGUAAACUGCUUUUAUAAGGGAAUAAAGUGGGAGUCGUGACUCUUUUUGCAUGUACCUUAUGAAUAAGGACCGGCUAAUUCCGUG
This 302-nucleotide ribosomal RNA is filed under the name uncultured bacterium. Its description in RNAcentral is "bacterial SSU rRNA". It matches the Rfam family "Bacterial small subunit ribosomal RNA", at positions 202 to 507 of the family's 1533-position model. The record is from RNAcentral.